CCUACGGGAGGCAGCAGUGGGGGAUAUUGGACAAUGGGGGGAACCCUGAUCCAGCGACGCCGCGUGAGUGAAGAAGUAUUUCGGUAUGUAAAGCUCUGUCAGCAGGGAAGAAAGCAAUGACGGUACCUGACCAAGAAGCCCCGGCUAACUACGUGCCAGCAGCCGCGGUAAUACGUAGGGGGCAAGCGUUAUCCGGAAUUACUGGGUGUAAAGGGAGCGUAGACGGCUGUGCAAGUCUGGAGUGAAAGGCGGGGGCCCAACCCCCGGACUGCUCUGGAAACUGUAUGGCUGGAGUGCAGGAGAGGUACGCGGAAUUCCUAGUGUAGCGGUGAAAUGCGUAGAUAUUAGGAGGAACACCAGUGGCGAAGGCGGCUUACUGGACUGCAACUGACGUUGAGGCUCGAAAGCGUGGGGAGCAAACAGGAUUAGAUACCCGAGUAGUC
This 443-nucleotide ribosomal RNA is filed under the name uncultured bacterium. Its description in RNAcentral is "partial 16S ribosomal RNA". It matches the Rfam family "Bacterial small subunit ribosomal RNA", at positions 338 to 795 of the family's 1533-position model. The record is from RNAcentral.